UUGGCCCUAAUCAAGACCAGCUUGCUUGCAGUAGCUGCUGGUUUCAAAGUGAGCCAACAUAAAAUCCUUCCUGUGGUCUGUUGGUGUUCCCAGUGUUCAAAGGAGCUAAUCAAUUCAGUUGGAAGGUACAAUU
Small nucleolar RNA from Thalassophryne amazonica, 133 nucleotides. NCBI's taxonomy places the organism in Eukaryota, Metazoa, Chordata, Actinopteri, Batrachoidiformes, Batrachoididae. The record is from RefSeq and is a predicted model, not a curated record.